UCAAGGUCACAUGGAUGCUGACAGCUCUCAGGUGUAUGGCCUAUUUGUUGCUGGGUAUUGUUGCCUUUCUUCCUGGUAUGCCAAUGUAUAUUGCUUCAGUUUUCAUAUUGAGAUUGAUACAAAACCUAGGCUCUGAAGUGCAAAUUGAGAAGAGGUAUGCUUAUUGUUGCCUUUCUUCGUGAUACCAGGUUUAUACAGCGGAGGAUCCUGAGUUGAUGCAUAUAUUGGCUCAAAAAGUAACUAGGCUCUGAAGUGCAGAUUGACAAGAGGUAUGCUUACUGUUGUCUGUGUCAGUCUAUCUACUCGAUCACCUUCAUAUCAACAAGUACAUUGGAGUUGUUUAUCUCAGUGCAUCAGAAUUGUUUCUUUCAUGCAGAGUUUCUGCUGCUAUUUGUUAAAUCUUAAAGAAACGUCUGAUCCUGAGGUUUACAAGUCCCCUUGUUCAAAUAUGAAAAUGAUUUAUUUGCAAACUUCAAUGCAAAAUGGUUAGUCAGUCUCGAACAACUGCAUCUAUAUAUACUUUCUAGUUAUGCUAUUGAUGCCACAUCCAGAUUACACUUUUCUUCUCUUUUUCUUUUCUUGGGAGUAGAAAGGUCUCACUCAAGGAUCGAGCAAAUGCAGUUCUAAUGCUUGUGUCGUCUAAUUCAAAGCAUGAUGACUUUAAAUGUUCAUGAAAUAUUUCUCCUCUUAAAUCUAAAAAACUAAUAUACAUAGAAGCAUGAAAAUUAGAUUUACUGGAUUUAUUGGAUUCUAUUUGUUGCAUAAUUUAUUGCAUAUUAGACAUAACGAUGCCAAUCUAUUAUAUACAGUAUCUUUGAACUAGGUUAGAAGUUGGCAUUUCUAUCAUGCGAGCUUCAGAGAAGGAUUAAUCUGAUUGUCCUUUGAUGUUCUAGAGUUUAGUUUGUUGGUUGCUUCAGUUAUGGUGGUGUUAUUUGGAAUAAUAAUGUCUUCAGGUGCUUGUAACAUCGGUAGAAUGGUGGAAUUCUAGCAGUCAUUAGUUUCAGUUUGUGUAUAAGAAAUACCAUCAACCUAUUAUUAGUGAGCUUUGUAUUGUUUUUCUCCGUGUUUACACCUCUCUUGCUCCAAGCCUGGUGAUUCAAUUCUAACAGAGGAGCUUGCUACGGCCAUCCAGGGGGCCAGGGCGAUUAGAUGCCCAUCACUCACGGCGGCAAGAAGUUCCGUGUCGAGUUGAUGAACCAGCACCAGCUGGGAGCCCGGAUGAAGAAGGUUGUCCCGCGGAGAAAAAGGAGAAGUGAUGAGAUGUUUUUGACAGCUAAUGGAUGAUGUUAUCUUAGUCUGUGAAUUUUUGUUUUGGUCGAUUUAGAAACCUUGUUUGAUGUCUGAAGAUCCCUUUUUGCCCACUGUUCAAACCAUCUCUUCAUUUUUGUGUAAAUGGUAACAAUACACUUCAAACAAUUAAGUUGUCAUCCCAAAAAAUAUUUUGUAAAAGGAUGUACUUAUCGCCUCAAUAAUCCUUAAUCGUCACGUAGAUUUCAUUUUCAUUUAAUUAUUUUUCAAAAUAGCGUAGAUAGUUUUCUUUAAAAUUACAAAUAUUUGAUAUAGUGUAUGUUAAUUGAGACAUGCGUUGCACGUGUUCCUUAAUGCAUCAAUCAUUUUCAAUUAGGACGGGAGUCUGAAAAAUGUUGUAAGGUUAUCGCCAUUGUUUGUUUAACUACAGAAGUCUCAAGAUUAGAAGCAUGAUCUUUUGUUUUUCAUGUUGCUCUACCU
RNAcentral lists this long non-coding RNA (1728 nucleotides) under Triticum aestivum (bread wheat). Its description in RNAcentral is "long non-coding RNA (TAES_LNC004168)". Lineage: Eukaryota; Viridiplantae; Streptophyta; Magnoliopsida; Poales; Poaceae. The record is from RNAcentral.